UACGGGGGGGGCAAGCGUUGUUCGGAAUUACUGGGCGUAAAGGGUGCGUAGGCGGUCCGCUAAGUUAGAUGUGAAAACUCUGGGCUUAACCCAGAGCCUGCAUCUAAUACUGACGGGCUAGAGUUCUGGAGGGGGUAGCGGAAUUCCUGGUGUGGCGGUGAAAUGCGUAGAUAUCAGGAGGAACACCGGUGGCGAAGGCGGCUACCUGGACAGAAACUGACGCUGAGGCACGAAAGCCAGGGGAGCGAACGGG
RNAcentral lists this ribosomal RNA (253 nucleotides) under uncultured bacterium. RNAcentral describes it as "partial 16S ribosomal RNA". It matches the Rfam family "Bacterial small subunit ribosomal RNA", at positions 524 to 776 of the family's 1533-position model. The record is from RNAcentral.